Molecule: long non-coding RNA, 285 nt
Organism: Salvia splendens (bonfire salvia)
Lineage: Eukaryota; Viridiplantae; Streptophyta; Magnoliopsida; Lamiales; Lamiaceae
Exons: 2
Source: RefSeq, a predicted model, not a curated record
CGAUUUUUUCUUCUCCUUUCUUCUUCAUCAGCCACCACUCCUUCGGUGGGUCUUCUUCAGCAAAAGCAAAAAUCACUUUAUUCUUCAGCCACCACUCCUUCGACGACUCGACGUCCAGAUUCUCAAGGUUUAUCUACAUAUCAUUUUUAUACAAAAUGUCUCAAGACCCGGCUAGGAAAUAUGCAAGAGCUGAUUCGGAUACCAGACAUAAACUUACAUGCAACUUUCUACGGAUCAUUUUGGAACUUUGAUGAUUUUUGAUAAUAAAAUUCAGUUAUUUAGUUA